CAGUCGCCGCGGUAAAACGAAGGGGGCUAGCGUUGCUCGGAAUUACUGGGCGUAAAGGGCGCGUAGGCGGACAGUUAAGUUGGGGGUGAAAGCCCGGGGCUCAACCUCGGAAUUGCCUUCAAUACUGGCUGUCUUGAGUAUGAGAGAGGUGUGUGGAGCUCCGAGUGUAGAGGUGAAAUUCGUAGAUAUUCGGAAGAACACCAGUGGCGAAGGCGACACACUGGCUCAUUACUGACGCUGAGGCGCGAAAGCGUGGGGAGCAAACAGGAUUAGAUACCCCUGUAGUCCCUGUCUCUUAUAC
This 301-nucleotide ribosomal RNA is filed under the name uncultured bacterium. Its description in RNAcentral is "partial 16S ribosomal RNA". It matches the Rfam family "Bacterial small subunit ribosomal RNA", at positions 509 to 807 of the family's 1533-position model. The record is from RNAcentral.